AGUGAACGCUGGCGGUAGGCCUAACACAUGCAAGUCGAGCGGCAGCACAGUAAGAGCUUGCUCUUACGGGUGGCGAGUGGCGGACGGGUGAGGCAUACAUCGGAAUCCACUUAUCCGUGGGGGACAACGUGGGGCAAAUUCCGCUAAUGCCUCAUACGGCCUACGAGUAGAAGCAAGUUAGCAUCAUACCAUGGCCUCACUAAUAGAUGAUCCGACGUUGUGUUAGUUAGUUGGCUGGGUAAAGACCCACCAGGGCGACGAUACUUAGCCGGUCUGAGGGGAGGACCGGCCACUCUGGAACUGAGACACGGUCCAGACUCCUACGGGAGGCAGCAGUGGGGAAUAUUGGACAAUGAGCGCAAGCCUGAUCCAGCCCUACCGGGUGGGUGAAGAAGGCCUUCGGGUGUUAAAGCCCUUUUGUUGGGAAAGAAAAGCGGCAGGUUAAAACCCCGCUGUUCUGACGGUACCCAAAGAGUAAGCACCGGCUAACUUCGUG
RNAcentral lists this ribosomal RNA (496 nucleotides) under uncultured bacterium. RNAcentral's name for it is "partial 16S ribosomal RNA". It matches the Rfam family "Bacterial small subunit ribosomal RNA", at positions 29 to 507 of the family's 1533-position model. The record is from RNAcentral.